GACGAACGCUGGCGGCGUGCUUAACACAUGCAAGUCGAACGGAAAGGCCCUGCUUUUGUGGGGUGCUCGAGUGGCGAACGGGUGAGUAACACGUGAGUAACCUGCCCUUGACUUUGGGAUAACUUCAGGAAACUGGGGCUAAUACCGGAUAGGAGCUCCUGCUGCAUGGUGGGGGUUGGAAAGUUUCGGCGGUUGGGGAUGGACUCGCGGCUUAUCAGCUUGUUGGUGGGGUAGUGGCUUACCAAGGCUUUGACGGGUAGCCGGCCUGAGAGGGUGACCGGCCACAUUGGGACUGGGAUACGGCCCAGACUCCUACGGGAGGCAGCAGUGGGGAAUAUUGCACAAUGGGCGGAAGCCUGAUGCAGCAACGCCGCGUGCGGGAUGACGGCUUUCGGGUUGUAAACCGCUUUCGCCUGUGACGAAGCGUGAGUGACGGUAAUGGGUAAAGAAGCACCGGCUAACUACGUG
This 468-nucleotide ribosomal RNA is filed under the name uncultured bacterium. RNAcentral's name for it is "partial 16S ribosomal RNA". It matches the Rfam family "Bacterial small subunit ribosomal RNA", at positions 28 to 507 of the family's 1533-position model. The record is from RNAcentral.